GUAGAUCAAAAAUUAUUUUGCUAGCUUACAGGAAUAAUAUAAGGAUAAAAAUAUUAAAGUCCUACCCCAAAUAGAUAAAAGUGAGAAGGCUUAUUUUAAUAUCUUAUAACCCAUGGAGAUGGUGUUCAACCGUUAAGACUGUUGCUUCCAAAGUCAGGGUGCUUGGAGGACAUAAGAACAGCUAAAUAGAAUGAUCAUAGAAUUGUAGGGUUGGAAGGGACCCUGAGGGUCAUCUAGUCCAACCCCCUGCAAUGCAGGAAUAAAAAGUUAACGAUGUAAAAAUAAUAAAAUAAUGAGGCAAAAGUUAUAGAAAAGAAUGGCAAGCAGAAAAGUUAUGGUUUCAUUUACUAUGUUAAUAUUUCUGCGUCUGUAAGAAAUAGCUAACCCUGUGCAGGUAUUUUAUUUAAUUUGACAGAAACUUCGAUUCAGUAAUAGCAACAAGAUGGAAACGUUUGGCAGAAAACCAGAAAGUUUAGCUCUGAAAAGGAAAAUGGCAAUGGAAUUUUUACACAUAUUCAUUCAUGUCCGCUUGUGAUGCACUACUACAUCAUACUGAUUCUAUGGCUCUCUUUUGGUAGACUGUAUUAAGAUCUAACCCUGUGGAGAUUGCUAGUUAUUAAGCAUGCCACUUUAAUAAUGUUUCAGUUUCUCAAAUUUGACGUUUUCUUGAUACAUAGUGGGUUAUAUUCUGGUUCCCAGAACUCUGAAGCAGAACACCCAGAAUAGUAUGUUGUAGAAACUAGCCCUGUUGUAGAUAUAAGCCUGUUGUGAAUACAAGACCAAAUCUUCCCAUACUUUGCUAUUUAAAUCUGGUAUAACUGCCUGUGUUUGGUACCUAUAAUUCCAGAUGUAUAUGCACACACAGUCCAUAAACUCAUUGAAAAAAUGGCCCUUGAAAAACCAUAUGCUUAUGCAGCCAUUCAUGUUCUUAGGCUGGGAGCAGGCAGAGUUAAGUCAUCUCACGAUCACCUUCGUUUGCAAGUUUUACAAAACCUGUUUGACUAAAGGUGAUGCUGGAGCAAAAUGAAUGAGUAUGAAAACCAUAGAAAGGACAGGGCUGGCUUGAUCUGCUAAACUGCAAUCCUAUGGAUGCUUACCUGGAUUAAUAGCCAUUGUACUCUAUGGCCCUUAUUUCCAGGCAGACUUCUGUCAGGCAAAACUCUCUUGCAGCAUGCUUAAUUAGAAAAAAAAAAAUCCUGCAGUUUCAAUGGCAUCAGGAUUUACUUGCUACUCUGCUAGGCUCUGAAGUCACCCAAUACACACUUAGAUUUCCAGGUGGGAAAGAGCAUCUCUAUUUGCUUCAGUGUCAGGAAAGCAUAAUGAAUCUGUUACAUUCAAGCAGACAUGGUGUUGGACCCAACCAAAAAAAGGAAACAGUUUUUUGUGCAGUUUGGAGGCCCUGUGCCCUCACAGGAGUAGCCAGAUUCGGGCUCCUGGGUGUUUCUGAAAUAUGCAAUUGGAGGGAAAACAGGAGGAACAACAUACAGGUCACUGGGACACAAGAGUAGAUUUUUUUACCCUUUCAAAGUUAACCAUAUUGUGUGUAUGUAUCUCAAAACCCAGUAUCAUCAGAAUUUUUUAUUUAUUUCAAAAUUGUAAAUGAAUAUAAAAUAUGUCUGUCUGUACCUUGGAGCUCUUUGAGAGCUGAUAUCUUUUCAAUAGGCUUUAAACAACCACAUAAUUUCAUUUGCAAAGGACAUACAAAUAUGGGGAAAGCAGCAAAAGAGGAACACACAGGAAGAAGAAGGAAAAAUACUGUAUUUACCUAUAUUCAGCAUAAGCAAAUUCUUAUACAAGUAAAUUACAAGUGUGUGUGUAGAUGUUUUAUUAUUUAUUGGGACUGCUACAGUCCUCCAUUACUCUUAUUAUGCUGCUGAAGGUUAGAAAGUCCCUUGUGAACUCUCACAGGUUUCACUCCCCUGUUUUAAAAUCAUAUCAAUGCUCAUAUCAGGCUCAUUUUGAGGCAGUGUUAAGUACAAGAAGGGUAAAAGCCGAUAUCUUUCUGCAAAAGACAGAAAUAAAUCAGUGAAAAAUGAAUUUCAUAAUUAACACAAAAUACAGAUAACCGCAGCUCAUAUAUCUAUCUGUGUGUGUUAGAGAGAGAUGAGCCUCAUUGGCUUUCCUGUCAUAAAAUUGCAGUAAGAUAAUUUCCUGGUUCUAUCUGACACCUUGGAUGUUUUAAAGGUAAGGAAGACAAAUUGGUAAAACAAGACCAACCAUUGCAACCUGCAUAUUAAUUUCUCAAGCUGAAUUUGGGAAAGGAAAUCAGUUUCUGCCAGUUCCACAGGAAGGUGUGGGCACAAUUCUGAGUCUGAUCUUAGCAGAUGUGCGGAAAAUUUUCAGAGAGAUUUUGUUUAACUGAGCUUCAGUUUAGCGGGUAAGACCGGAUUUUGGCAAGGCACAGCUGUGGAACAAAGAAAAAGCUCUCGGACUCGGCGGGGGGGGGGCGAUUAAUUGUUAUGCUGUGGAUGAACCCUCAGAUGGGCAUUUCCACACACACAUUAAUAAAACAGUGCUGAGUAUCCACCUGCAAUCCAUUCAAAAAACUUGGUAAAACAAUCAGCAUAUAUGCAAAUGACUUUCCACAUCAUUUGGUGACAACCUCCUUUAUUAACCAACCUUUUUGUUAGUGGGGUCUUCAGAUAACAAGAUUACAGAAAUAUGCAUAAAAACAACUUGCUGUGCUUAUUCACAGUUACUGGAGUAAUCCACUUGGACCCUCUUCUGCACAAAUCCCAUUAAAUGCAGGAGUUUGCCAAGAGCAUAGAGCAUGACUGCCUUCGCUAUGUUGCUCCUAUUACCAAAUACAUCAGGCUCCUGAAAGAUCUGUAGCAGCCUCACAUACGAGUAUGUUUUGGCGACUCCAUGGGUGUGGAGAGCAAUGGAGCCACAAUGGGCUUGGAUUGGCUCAAAAUGUUCUGUGCUGCCACCACUCCUCUUGAGGAGGAGAGCUCACCCACCAGGAAGCAAACGUUUCAAGGAGUAAUUUUUUAAUGGGAGUUUAUAAAAUCCCAAUCCUGAUCAGGAUUGUGGAAGCAAUGAUCAAAAGCAGCUGAAGGGCUCUUCUUUUUACCAACAACAGUUCUACUCAAAGUAUUGUUUUUCUCUGUGCGAGAGGAAAAACUGAAAGUGUACAAUGUCAUUAUUUUCCCUUUUUCAUUUUGCCACAGUCAAAUGAGAAGUGCAGUAAGCAUACAGACACAAUUUCUCUCCCACCCUCCAAACUGAAGGGCAAGUCCUGCCAUGAGCAUUCAUGUCUUCUAUAUAUUCCUGACAUGCAUUUGAGAGUUGUUUUAAAGGACACUCUGUGGCUAUUAAAACAGAACAAAAGGUUAAAUCAGUCCAUAGCAGAGUCUGCUAAUGGGACAUAAUCUGCCUUGGAAACUGAAUGUGUUUUCCAAAGGAAGAAUCCACCCC
Podarcis lilfordi (Lilford's wall lizard) is the source of this 3417-nucleotide non-coding RNA. NCBI's taxonomy places the organism in Eukaryota, Metazoa, Chordata, Lepidosauria, Squamata, Lacertidae. The record is from the annotation of a GenBank genome assembly.